CAGCAGCCGCGGGAAUACGAAGGGUGCAAGCGUUAAUCGGAAUUACUGGGCGUAAAGCGUGCGUAGGCGGUUUGUUAAGUCUGUUGUGAAAUCCCCCGGCUCAACCUGGGAAUGGCAAUGGAUACUGGCAAGCUAGAGUGUGUCAGAGGAUGGUGGAAUUCCCGGUGUAGCGGUGAAAUGCGUAGAGAUCGGGAGGAACAUCAGUGGCGAAGGCGGCCACCUGGGACAACACUGACGCUGAGGCACGAAAGCGUGGGGAGCAAACAGGAUUAGAUACCCGCGUAGUCCCUGUCUCUUAUAA
RNAcentral lists this ribosomal RNA (301 nucleotides) under uncultured bacterium. RNAcentral's name for it is "partial 16S ribosomal RNA". It matches the Rfam family "Bacterial small subunit ribosomal RNA", at positions 509 to 809 of the family's 1533-position model. The record is from RNAcentral.